RNAcentral lists this microRNA precursor (81 nucleotides) under Bigelowiella natans CCMP2755. Its description in RNAcentral is "miRNA EPrBNAG00000013482". Lineage: Eukaryota; Cercozoa; Chlorarachniophyceae. The record is from RNAcentral.
UCGUGAUGAUGAUGAUGAUGAUGAUGAUGAUGAUGAUAUCCUCUCAAUUGUCAUCAGUCGUCGUCGUCAUCAUCACGCUCU